Molecule: ribosomal RNA, 497 nt
Filed under: uncultured bacterium
Lineage: Bacteria
Description: partial 16S ribosomal RNA
Rfam family: Bacterial small subunit ribosomal RNA
Source: RNAcentral
GAUGAACGCUGGCGGCGUGUCUAAUACAUGCAAGUCGAGCGAACAGAUGAGGAGCUUGCUCCUCUGACGUUAGCGGCGGACGGGUGAGUAACACGUGGAUAACCUACCUAUAAGACUGGGAUAACUUCGGGAAACCGGAGCUAAUACCGGAUAAUAUAUUGAACCGCAUGGUUCAAUAGUGAAAGACGGUUUUGCUGUCACUUAUAGAUGGAUCCGCGCCGCAUUAGCUAGUUGGUAAGGUAACGGCUUACCAAGGCAACGAUGCGUAGCCGACCUGAGAGGGUGAUCGGCCACACUGGAACGGAGACACGGUCCAGACUCCUACGGGAGGCAGCAGUAGGGAAUCUUCCGCAAUGGGCGAAAGCCUGACGGAGCAACGCCGCGUGAGUGAUGAAGGUCUUCGGAUCGUAAAACUCUGUUAUUAGGGAAGAACAAAUGUGUAAGUAACUGUGCACGUCUUGACGGUACCUAAUCAGAAAGCCACGGCUAACUACGUG